This 301-nucleotide ribosomal RNA is filed under the name uncultured bacterium. Its description in RNAcentral is "partial 16S ribosomal RNA". It matches the Rfam family "Bacterial small subunit ribosomal RNA", at positions 509 to 807 of the family's 1533-position model. The record is from RNAcentral.
CAGCAGCCACGGGAAUACAGAGGGUGCGAGCGUUAAUCGGAUUUACUGGGCGUAAAGCGUGCGUAGGCGGCUAAUUGAGUCGGAUGUGAAAUCCCCGAGCUUAACUUGGGAAUUGCAUUCGAUACUGGUUAGCUAGAGUGUGGGAGAGGAUGGUAGAAUUCCAGGUGUAGCGGUGAAAUGCGUAGAGAUCUGGAGGAAUACCGAUGGCGAAGGCAGCCAUCUGGCCUAACACUGACGCUGAGGUACGAAAGCAUGGGGAGCAAACAGGAUUAGAUACCCCUGUAGUCCCUGUCUCUUAUAC